GAUAUAUAAAAUGCACACAUAUGCAUGCCACUUCUGGUUGAUCUCCCCUGAAUGAGCUAAUCCUCUAAUUGAUGUUUCAUUGGAUCCCCUUCCUUGCACAACUCCUGAGACCAAAUCAACUGACAGUGACAACUAAAGGAUAACAAUAACAAUUCUUUGUGUUUAGGAUCUUGAGGGCUCAUGGUAAAUAAAUAAUCAAUUGACCCUUCAUCUUGAGGCAAGUGUAUUAAGAAAACUAGAGUAGUACUUGCAAUCCAAUGCAAUGCAAGGCAAUGCUGGUGUCACAUGAGGUCAGCGAGGAAGGAAGAACGAGGCUAUAUAUCUAUCUAUCUAUCUAUAAGGUGGUUGGAGCAUCACAGAUCACAAAGUACAAGCAGGUCUUGAGUUGGAAGCAAUGUGGAUGGGUGUAUCCUAUGCUAAUUAUUUAUGGCCUUUAUUAGCUUGUGGCUCUCUCUCAAAGUUGUGAUAGCAUCUGAGCAGAAUAAAUAUUGUGCAGUCACAGGUGGAGAGUGAUCUGUAUUAAGUUGGACAGGGAGCAUCAGAGAAGGAAUGGCUGCUAAUUGGACCAGUGGGCUCCACACCCUCCCAGGACCUGCAUGUUUAUCUACAUUGGGCCUUGUUGGCCCAUUACCUUCAAAGCUACCUCCCUCCAUCUCAAUCUAUUGCUACCUGGCGCCUGCCAUAUUUCUCAGUUUACAUGAAAGACGCGCAUACAUGAUUAAAUGCAUAUCCUUCAGUUUUAUAUAUUUGUAACUUUUUCAGAGUAAAGAUCAUGAUAUUGAUAAUGUGCUGGCUUUGUCAGAAAAGCCAAGGUAUUAGUUAA
Non-coding RNA from Oryza sativa Japonica Group (Japanese rice), 823 nucleotides. Lineage: Eukaryota; Viridiplantae; Streptophyta; Magnoliopsida; Poales; Poaceae. The record is from RefSeq and is a predicted model, not a curated record.